UUUCCUUGUGUGAAUUGCAUGCUG
RNAcentral lists this non-coding RNA (24 nucleotides) under Cricetulus griseus (Chinese hamster). The record is from RNAcentral. Lineage: Eukaryota; Metazoa; Chordata; Mammalia; Rodentia; Cricetidae.